This 477-nucleotide ribosomal RNA is filed under the name uncultured bacterium. RNAcentral describes it as "bacterial SSU rRNA". It matches the Rfam family "Bacterial small subunit ribosomal RNA", at positions 365 to 832 of the family's 1533-position model. The record is from RNAcentral.
UUCGCAAUGCCCGAAAGGGUGACGAAGCGACGCCGCGUGCGGGAAGAAGGCCUUCGGGUUGUAAACCGCUGUCGGGAGUUAAGAAAUGUAAGGAUGUUAAUAGCAUCUUUGCUUGACUAAGGCUCCGGAGGAAGCCACGGCUAACUCUAUGCCAGCAGCCGCGGUAAUACAGAGGCGGCAAGCGUUGUUCGGAAUUAUUGGGCGUAAAGAGCACGUAGGCGGCUGUGUAAGUCGGUUGUGAAAGCCUUCCGCUCAACGGAAGAACAGCAGCCGAUACUGCAUGGCUUGAGUGCGGGAGGGGAGAGUGGAACUUCUGGUGGAGCGGUGAAAUGCGUAGAUAUCAGAAGGAACGCCGGCGGCGAAAGCGACUCUCUGGACCGUAACUGACGCUGAGUGUGCGAAAGCUAGGGGAGCAAACGGGAUUAGAUACCCCGGUAGUCCUAGCCGUAAACGAUGGGCACUAAGUAGAGGGGUUUU